CUAACUUUUUGUACUCUCUCGUCUUCUAACCAAACUGAAACGAACAGCUUCUCCUCAAACUACCAAAGCAAAAAAAAACCGUCUCCUCUAUCAUUCUCUUUGGGUCGACGGCUUCUGAAGCAGGUUUCUUCGUCCUUUGUGAUUCUUUUUAAGUUCCUUUAUUUCUUUUGAUGCUUUUCAAUUUAGUUUAAAGCUUUAUACUUAAUAUUUUCCUUUUCAAGUUCCUUGCUUCUGUUUCUCUUUUAAAGUUUAAUAAGAUGUGGUUAAUGGGUGCCUGUAUAUAUGCUGGUUUUCGUUAGGGGAAAGUGGGUGCUCUGUUUUUAUUAUUCUCUUAUUUGAGUAAUUUUUAUUUCUGGGUUUGCAUGGUGAUGGAGGGGAAAAAACGAUUUUUUUUUACUUUGUGUUUGUAUUCCUUUGGUAGCAAGUAGCAACGAGUAUUUUGCUGAAGCUGGUAUAUUUCUGCAAACUUCAGGAAAAAUUAAAUAGCGGUGCUGAAAUAUCCUAAUUCUGCAAAUCACGUAGUGUAAAAUUGGGAAUUUUUGGCGAAUAGCCACCUUCUAGAGUGCUGAUCGUCGAAUAGCCAGCGUUUGCAAAGUUUUAGAAGCAUUGUCACAAUCGCUCAAACUUCAGAAAAAAUUCAUGGAGUUCCGUUCAAAACCACAUGGAAAAAAUCCUGGACUUUUGAACUCAAGUGCAGGAAAAACAGGAGAAAAAAAAAUCCUGGAGGUCCACUCCAGAACAAAUCAUGUUUUUCCUGGAGUUUAGUUCAAAAGUCCGACAUUUUUUCCUGGAAUGCAGUUCAAAAUCCCAGGGAAAAGUGACUAUUCGUUGACUGCCACUGGCCACUGCCAAAAAUAAAAACCCGGCCUAUAUUUCAUUGUACAAUUGCCUAUCAAAAAGGCCUGACCUGACCCUCUAAUUGUCCAACCCCUUUCCACUCGCAACUUAAGUCGGAGCUAGCAGCCUAAAGACCCUGAUUUUUUUUAUCUGAGAUACACUAUAAGUUAUUGUUGUUUAAUUGAGUGGACAUCUUGGUCUGAAGUCUGUGUUAUAAAAGGUAUUUUUGAACUAUUCUAGUUUAUUGUAAAUGUUGGAUUUCUUUAUACCUCGUUGGAUUUGCUGUGGGUGAACUAUAAUAAUUAGCUCUCCUUGAUACCUUAUCAGUGAUCAUGUAUUUUAUCUGUUCUUUUAGUUUUUUUCUGAAAUUUUUACCAGCAAAGCUUCCUCAUCUCCAAAGAUACCGAAACAUUAAGGAAUAUCCACUUUUUUCCCCUAUAUGGUCCACUAUAAGUUAUAGAAGCUUGUCUGAAUGGUCAUCUUGGUCUGGACCCUGAGUUUAUAAAAAGCUACCUUCGAAUGUUCUUAGUAAUUUUGGUACUUAGACCUCUUGGAUGGUUAUGAAUUUUGUAGUGGAUGAAGUAAUAAUUAGCUCCUCGACGUGCUAUUGAUAUCAUUCUUCUAAGUCGAUGGAUUGUUGACGAAACAACCAUGUUUAAUAUAUUCACUAAUGACACUAAGAUUUGUCAGGCAUUUCACUCACUUUUGACUCUGAUUCAACAUUCAAGUGUACCAAAAGUACUUGGGACUGUCAAAUCCCUGCAUGUAGAAGAUUAUUAAUUUACUAUUACAAAUAAAGCAUUCGCAUCCACCUUCGUGCCCAUUGAAUUAAUUUGCAAUGUCUUUAUUUUUUAAAAAGUCAUCAUACGUGGAAUUAUUUGCUAAAAAGGCAUAUCGUAUAAGAUCAAAAUUAGAAUACUAGGUGACUUUCUACAAAUUUUCACAAAAUGAUAUAUUUUCUUAGUUGAUUCAGGUCUCCGAGCAUGGUAUAUUGCGGUAAUUGUGCAGAGAACAUAAGUCGACCCGACUAUGUGGAUGGCAAAAUGUGAGAGCUUUGUUCUUUCUUCUACACUAUAAUACUCUCGUUCAUUUUAUUUUAUAUAUGUUGUUCAUUAGUUAUAAGAUGCUUCAUUUGGUUAUAUAUGUUUCAUUCUAUGAUCUUUCUUUUUCGUUACAUUAUAGAUGUUGUCCCUUAUGUGGAAGAGUUCUUGAUGAAGAUAAUUUUUCAUGUGAGCCCACGUUUGUUAAGAAUGCUGCCGGACUGGU
This 2103-nucleotide long non-coding RNA is filed under the name Nicotiana tabacum (common tobacco). Its description in RNAcentral is "long non-coding RNA (NTAB_LNC010540)". Lineage: Eukaryota; Viridiplantae; Streptophyta; Magnoliopsida; Solanales; Solanaceae. The record is from RNAcentral.